RNAcentral lists this ribosomal RNA (443 nucleotides) under uncultured bacterium. RNAcentral's name for it is "partial 16S ribosomal RNA". It matches the Rfam family "Bacterial small subunit ribosomal RNA", at positions 338 to 795 of the family's 1533-position model. The record is from RNAcentral.
CCUACGGGGCGCAGCAGUGGGGAAUAUUGGGCAAUGGAGGCAACUCUGACCCAGCAACGCCGCGUGAAUGAUGAAGGUCUUCGGAUUGUAAAGUUCUUUUCUAAGGGAAGAAGAAAGUGACGGUACCUUAGGAAUAAGCCUCGGCUAACUACGUGCCAGCAGCCGCGGUAAUCCGUAGGAGGCAAGCGUUAUCCGGAAUGACUGGGCGUAAAGGGUGCGUAGGUGGUUUGACAAGUUAGUAGCGCAACUCCGGAGCUCAACUUCGGAACUACUACUAAAACUGUUGGACUUGAGUGCAGGAGGGGCAAUCGGAAUUCCUAGUGUAGCGGUGGAAUGCGUAGAUAUUAGGGGGAACACCAGUGGCGAAGGCGGAUUGCUGGACUGUAACUGACACUGAGGCACGAAAGCGUGGGGAGCAAACAGGAUUAGAUACCCGUGUAGUC